This 448-nucleotide ribosomal RNA is filed under the name uncultured bacterium. Its description in RNAcentral is "SSU rRNA". It matches the Rfam family "Bacterial small subunit ribosomal RNA", at positions 26 to 518 of the family's 1533-position model. The record is from RNAcentral.
AGAGCGAACGCUGGCGGCAGGCUUAACACAUGCAAGUCGAACGCAUCACUUCGGUGGUGAGUGGCAGACGGGUGAGUAACACGUGGGAACGUACCCUUCGGUUCGGAACAACUCUGGGAAACUGGAGCUAAUACCGGAUACGCCCUUUUGGGGAAAGGUUUACUGCCGAAGGAUCGGCCCGCGUCUGAUUAGCUAGUUGGUGGGGUAACGGCCUACCAAGGCGACGAUCAGUAGCUGGUCUGAGAGGAUGAUCAGCCACAUUGGGACUGAGACACGGCCCAAACUCCUACGGGAGGCAGCAGUGGGGAAUAUUGGACAAUGGGCGCAAGCCUGAUCCAGCCAUGCCGCGUGAGUGAUGAAGGCCUUAGGGUUGUAAAGCUCUUUUGUCCGGGACGAUAAUGACGGUACCGGAAGAAUAAGCCCCGGCUAACUUCGUGCCAGCAGCCGC